Molecule: long non-coding RNA, 1297 nt
Filed under: Salmo salar (Atlantic salmon)
Lineage: Eukaryota; Metazoa; Chordata; Actinopteri; Salmoniformes; Salmonidae
Description: lncRNA (ENSSSAG00000095712.1)
Source: RNAcentral
CGGUGAGUAGGUGGGACGGUGAGUAGGUGGGACGGUGAGUAGGUGGCUGUUGAGUAGGUGGGACGGUGAGUAGGUGGGACGGUGAGUAGGUGGGACGGUGAGUAGGUGGGACGGUGAGUAGGUGGGACGGUGAGUAGGUGGCUGUUGAGUAGGUGGGACGGUGAGUAGGUGGCUGUUGAGUAGGUGGGACGGUGAGUAGGUGGGACGGUGAGUAGGUGUCUGUUGAGUAGGUGGGACGGUGAGUAGGUGGGACGGUGAGUAGGUGUCUGUUGAGUAGGUGGGACGGUGAGUAGGUGGCUGUUGAGUAGGUGGGACGGUGAGUAGGUGGGACGGUGAGUAGGUGUCUGUUGAGUAGGUGGGACGGUGAGUAGGUGGGACGGUGAGUAGGUGUCUGUUGAGUAGGUGGGACGGUGAGUAGGUGGGACGGUGAGUAGGUGUCUGUUGUGUAGGUGGGACGGUGAGUAGGUGGGACGGUGAGUAGGUGUCUGUUGAGUAGAUGGGACGGUGAGUAGGUGGGACGGUGAGUAGGUGUCUGUUGAGUUGGUGGGACGGUGAGUAGGUGUCUGUUGAGUAGGUGGGACGGUGAGUAGGUGGCUGUUGAGUAGGUGGGACGGUGAGUAGGUGGGACGGUGAGUAGGUGUCUGUUUAGUAGGUGGGACGGUGAGUAGGUGGGACGGUGAGUAGGUGUCUGUUGAGUAGGUGGGACGGUGAGUAGGUGGGACGGUGAGUAGGUGUCUGUUGAGUAGGUGGGACGGUGAGUAGGUGGGACGGUGAGUAGGUGUCUGUUGAGUAGGUGGGGCGGUGAGUAGGUGGGACGGUGAGUAGGUGUCUGUUGAGUAGGUGGGACGGUGAGUAGGUGGGACGGUGAGUAGGUGGGACGGUGAGUAGGUGGCUGUUGAGUAGGUGGGACGGUGAGUAGGUGGGACGGUGAGUAGGUGGGACGGUGAGUAGGUGGCUGUUGAGUAGGUGGGACUUCUGAUAAUAUGUUUGCUCUAACUGCUUUUUUAAAAACAGAAAUGAAAUCUGACAACUGGAGGUUGGCAUCUUUUAAUAAGGCAUACUCCAAUUACGGUUUUCAAUGAUUACCAAGAUUCUUAGUGACCUUUUUAUGAAUUACAAUGAUUUUACUUUUAGAGGUUAACCUCUCUAGGGUAGGUGGCACCAAACCAUCCCACCUACGUAACAGCCAGUGUAAUCCCGUGGCGCAUUAUUCAAAAACCUCAAAAAUGCAAAAACUUCCAUUUUUCAAACAUAUGACUAUUUUACACCAUUUUAAAGACAAGACUCUCGUUAAUCU